UACGUAGGGGGCUAGCGUUGUCCGGAAUCAUUGGGCGUAAAGAGCGUGUAGGCGGCCCGGUAAGUCCGCUGUAAAAGUCAAAGGCUCAACCUUUGAACGUCAGUGGAUACUGCCGGGCUAGAGUCCGGAAGAGGCGAGUGGAACUCCUGGUGUAGCGGUGGAAUGCGCAGAUAUCAGGAAGAACACCAACGGCGAAGGCAGCUCGCUGGGACGGUACUGACGCUGAGACGCGAAAGCGUGGGGAGCGAACAGG
RNAcentral lists this ribosomal RNA (253 nucleotides) under uncultured bacterium. Its description in RNAcentral is "partial 16S ribosomal RNA". It matches the Rfam family "Bacterial small subunit ribosomal RNA", at positions 524 to 776 of the family's 1533-position model. The record is from RNAcentral.